RNAcentral lists this transfer-messenger RNA (388 nucleotides) under Chloroflexota bacterium. Its description in RNAcentral is "Chloroflexi bacterium (sediment metagenome) transfer-messenger RNA". It matches the Rfam family "transfer-messenger RNA". From Rfam's summary of the family: Bacterial tmRNA, also known as 10Sa RNA or SsrA, is named for its dual tRNA and mRNA-like properties. Its role is to liberate the mRNA from a stalled ribosome. The record is from RNAcentral. Lineage: Bacteria; Bacillati; Chloroflexota.
GGGGAUGCACUGGCUUCGACGGGUAGCGAUCGGGGUCGAGUGGCAAGCCGGGGCGCUCUAGCCUCGUUAACAAUGGAGCAAACUUUAGGUGCCAACCGCACCAACUACGCGGCUCUCCCUCUCGCUGCAUAAGCGAGGGUGAUAGCCCGAUCACCUGCGGGUGAUCCGUCGGCCCCGGCCUCGCGCCGGUAGGUCGGGAGUCCGGCGAGACAAUGCCGGCGUGCGGUCCACCUGACGCCGAUGAGGUGGACCAAAGAGCCCUCGGCUGGCCGCAGCGGUCUGCGUGUCGAUGCGCAGCGCGGCGGCGACAACCCAAACAUCGACUAAGCUUGUAGUCGCUCGGCUUCAUCCUAUUCGGACGCGGGUUCGAUUCCCGCCAUCUCCACCA